CAGCCGCCGCGGUAAUACGAAGGGUGCAAGCGUUACUCGGAAUUACUGGGCGUAAAGCGUGCGUAGGUGGUGGUUUAAGUCUGCUGUGAAAGCCCUGGGCUCAACCUGGGAAUUGCAGUGGAUACUGGAUCACUAGAGUGUGGUAGAGGGAUGCGGAAUUUCUGGUGUAGCAGUGAAAUGCGUAGAGAUCAGAAGGAACAUCCGUGGCGAAGGCGGCAUCCUGGGCCAACACUGACACUGAGGCACGAAAGCGUGGGGAGCAAACAGGAUUAGAUACCCGCGUAGUCCCUGUCUCUUAUAC
RNAcentral lists this ribosomal RNA (301 nucleotides) under uncultured bacterium. Its description in RNAcentral is "partial 16S ribosomal RNA". It matches the Rfam family "Bacterial small subunit ribosomal RNA", at positions 509 to 807 of the family's 1533-position model. The record is from RNAcentral.